CCUGUGCAGGGAGGGGAUGCAGUGGAGGAGCCCGGGGAAGCCUGACCCGGCCACCCCAGAGCCUGGCUACCUCUUCUGGACAGGGCCCUUUUUGCUCCAGCAGCCUCAGGCCUGUGAGUGGCUGUAGAUUCUGGAGACAGCCUUGGGCUGGGAGCCUGGAUGCUGAGUCCUCAUGCUGCUUGGACAUCAGUCAUUUUGCAGUCUCCUUGUCUUAACCCAGGAUCGUGCCCCCCUGCAAUUGUCCACCUCUAGAAGCUGCCGCUGUCAGCCACACAUGAUAGUUGAUGUGGGAUGUACAGAUAAACUAGUGAAGCAUCCGUCUUCAGGAGCUAACAGUUUCACAGGGGAAAAUGGCAUGAAACCAGGACUUGUUCACUAGGACCACCCCUCUGCCAGCAGAGCUGGGCCUCACCUUGGUUUUGAAGCUCUCCACAUCAUCAAAGCCCACCCACUGGUUGUCCCGGAAGAUGUAGGGCACCUUCUGAUCCUGGAUUCUCUGUUUGGUGGCCCCCUUCCAGGAGCAGACUUCAUAGUAGGCCAGCAUCCCUCCUUCCUUGGUGAAGGGGCCUGGAGUGCCAGACCCUGUGGCUGGGGCCCCCACUCUGGUGUCUGAUGAGGAGGCCAGUGUGAAGGAGCGUCCGUAGGUAGGCAUGCCAAGGAUCAGCUUGCUGGCAGGGGUCCCCUUCUGCAGCCACUGUUGCACAGCAGCAUCCUGGUGGAAGAGGGCAGGGUUAAUUUUCUCAGCCCUCAGCCUGGUUCUGAUUAUCUAAGUCUGGGGGAUCCAGAGGCAGAGCUAGGAGGGCAGGGGCUCCUCAGCUGGAGCUCUACGGGCCUUUGUUAGGAUUCCAGCCCUACCCCAUCUUCUUUAGAGCCUGCCUUAGACCCGUGACCCCAGUGAAGAAGCUGCAUGGCAUGAUAACCAGAGAGCGUGGGCUUCGGACGCAGACAACCAUUCACUGAACAAAUGUGUACUGAUGGCCCACUGUGUGCCAGGCGCUGUCCAUGGUGCUUCAGACACAUCAGUGAACAAGGCAGACACAGAUCCCUGCCUUACCCAGCAGCUUAUUUAACCUCACUGAACCUUGGUGUUCUGUCUGUAACAUGGAAAUAAGGAAAAUAUCCAUCUCUUAGGGCAUUGUGAGAAUUAAAGGUUAUAAUGCAUGUAAAAGGUCAGCA
RNAcentral lists this long non-coding RNA (1176 nucleotides) under Homo sapiens (human). RNAcentral describes it as "LNC_000211". Lineage: Eukaryota; Metazoa; Chordata; Mammalia; Primates; Hominidae. The record is from RNAcentral.